UACGGAGGGUGCGAGCGUUGUUCGGAAUCAUUGGGCGUAAAGCGCGUGUAGGCGGCUUACUAAGUCUGGUGUGAAAUCCCGGGGCUUAACCCCGGAACUGCAUUGGAUACUGGUAAGCUAGAGGACGGAAGGGGGAAGCGGAAUUCCUGGUGUAGGGGUGAAAUCCGUAGAUAUCAGGAGGAACACCGGAGGCGAAGGCGGCUUCCUGGUCCGUUUCUGACGCUAAGACGCGAAAGCAUGGGGAGCAAACAGG
Molecule: ribosomal RNA, 253 nt
Filed under: uncultured bacterium
Lineage: Bacteria
Description: partial 16S ribosomal RNA
Rfam family: Bacterial small subunit ribosomal RNA
Source: RNAcentral